UGGGGAAUAUUGCACAAUGGGCGCAAGCCUUAUGCAGCCAUGCCGCGUGUAUGAAGAAGGCCUUCGGGUUGUAAAGUACUUUCAGCGGGGAGGAAGGGAGUAAAGUUAAUACCUUUGCUCAUUGACGUUACCCGCAGAAGAAGCACCGGCUAACUCCGUGCCAGCAGCCGCGGUAAUACGGAGGGUGCAAGCGUUAAUCGGAAUUACUGGGCGUAAAGCGCACGCAGGCGGUUUGUUAAGUCAGAUGUGAAAUCCCCGGGCUCAACCUGGGAACUGCAUCUGAUACUGGCAAGCUUGAGUCUCGUAGAGGGGGGUAGAAUUCCAGGUGUAGCGGUGAAAUGCGUAGAGAUCUGGAGGAAUACCGGUGGCGAAGGCGGCCCCCUGGACGAAGACUGACGCUCAGGUGCGAAAGCGUGGGGAGCAAACAGG
This 429-nucleotide ribosomal RNA is filed under the name Chloroflexota bacterium. RNAcentral's name for it is "Chloroflexi bacterium partial 16S ribosomal RNA". It matches the Rfam family "Bacterial small subunit ribosomal RNA", at positions 355 to 776 of the family's 1533-position model. The record is from RNAcentral. Lineage: Bacteria; Bacillati; Chloroflexota.